AGGACCGAAAAAGCAUGGCCUCUAUAAAAUAUAAGCCUUAGCUAAUAACUUAUGACUCAAACUUAAUAAAAUCAUAGCCUAACACUACCCUCUAGAUAAG
RNAcentral lists this ribosomal RNA (100 nucleotides) under Centrolene lynchi (Lynch's giant glass frog). Its description in RNAcentral is "partial large subunit ribosomal RNA". The record is from RNAcentral. Lineage: Eukaryota; Metazoa; Chordata; Amphibia; Anura; Centrolenidae.